This is a long non-coding RNA of Heterocephalus glaber (naked mole-rat), 1539 nucleotides long. NCBI's taxonomy places the organism in Eukaryota, Metazoa, Chordata, Mammalia, Rodentia, Bathyergidae. The record is from Ensembl.
UUUAUAAAUUAAUCUAUAUACACAUGCGUAUUUAAGACUGAAAAAAAUGGCAAAAUAUCAACAGUUUUCUUCUAGUUUAUAAUCUCAGUUCAAUUUUCAAAUUUUAUACAAAACUGAUUGCUUUCAUAAUCAGAAACAAAUGUAGACCUCGCUGCAGACAGGCAGGUCUGCCCACACCCUACCAAGGUCCCCAGUCGCACGGAACCCACGCCGAAUAAGCCCGCUGCAGACAGGCAGGUCUGUGCACGCCCUACCGAGGUCCUGAGUCACGCAGAAGACACCGAAUCACCCCACUGCAGACAGGCAGCCACCUGAUUCCACACUACAAAGACGCAGAGGACACGAGACCACCAGACCAAGGUAUUCACUUGGAUUUCUUCUUAAAUACUGAAGCUGAAUGUGAAGAACCAAUUCCAGGGCUAAAAUUGGUCUCUGGGAAGAGGAAGUGCUGUUUCUGCCAUGGCCAUCCCAAGUCCAUUACGCAUGCCAGAGCAACAACAAUAUUCAUUACCAACCUGCCUCCCCACAAACUAAAGGAACUACAUGAUCACACCUGCAACACAUCCUUCUCAUUCCUGAGAAGGGCUAGGUGAUGCAGAUGGAAGUGGAAUUCCACAGCAUCACUUCCUUUGUAGACCAUUAAAAUGCAACAGAUGCCAUUCUCACUGAAAUGUUUGUGGAAAAGUUCAAGGUGCGUUUUAGGGCAUUUUAAAGUCACACAUAUCUGAAAACUUUGCAAAACACUGGUAUUGACAGCUGCAUUACAGUGUAUCUUUAUCUCAGUAAGGCUACCGUGCUACCUUUUGAAAUGGCCCUUUUCAAGUGGUCACCGUAGCCAAAUUCAUUCAAGAGAGCAGGAACAGUUCUGUGUCUUUGGCGUGUGUUUUUUGAAAGACAAUGUUAGCAGAUGUUGCAGCAGCUGUAGAUGUUAGUCCUUGACCAACUCCAUGCCAUGGAUUCUGCACCCAGGCCACAACAUUCUACCAAAUCCAAUCAGACUCUCUGUUUCAUAUUCCCAUAGUAUGGGGUAAAAGAGGUGCCAACUAACCAAUCCUCCUAAUCAUGGACAAGGCCCACAUGUGGGGAUAGAUGGUAACCCAGGAACAUGAGGAGAAAGUACAGAUCUGAUCAGCUGGGCUAGCCCCAGGAAAAGUCCACCCUACUGUAAACUACAAAAUCAACAUGGUGUUUUUCUCUUAAAGUGACUCCUUCCCUGCAGGGCAGAGUUAGAGAAAAAAAACAAUGCAGUGCUUGUCAAAUUGCAGAGACAGUUUAAUAAGGUUCCGUUUUGGAAAGAAGUUGUUCAAGACUGAGCCACAGUGCAGUUCCACUCCAGGGUUUCUGGUGUUACCCACCCACAGUGACUGAGUAAAAGACAGCUAGGAGAAACAGCCUCAAAGAUGGUCCAGGCUAGACAUGGACCCCUUGAGAAGUUUAAGCUCAGGCCAGAGGGAUAUGGGCCCUGUACUCCAUAGUGAGAAACCAGGCCCAGUGAGUGUGGCUUUCAUAAGAGACUGGACCUGAAACUGAUGGCAUUAA